UGAGCAGACCGGGCAGCCGCGGCGCGCGAUUUUAUGCGCACGAGGAAAGUCCGGGCAUCAUAGAGCAGGGCAGCUGCUAACAGCAGCCGGGGGCGACCCUAGGGCUAGUGCAACAGAGAUGAGACUGCAUCGGCUUUUGCCGGUGUAACGGUGGAAAGGUGCGGUAAGAGCGCACCAGAGCGUAUGAGAAUGCGCUGCUGUGUAAACCCUGUCCGAUGCAACGCCGAAUUGGUACGGGAUAUCGCAACGUCUGCUCGGCGGAUCUCCCGUAUAGGCGGCUUGAGCACGCCGGCGACAGCGUGCCUAGAUAAAUGGCUGCCGUCAUUCCAAACAGAAUGAAGACAGAACCCGGCUUACAGGUCUGGUCACAAC
RNAcentral lists this RNase P RNA (372 nucleotides) under Ruminococcus sp. RNAcentral describes it as "RNase P RNA component class A". It matches the Rfam family "Bacterial RNase P class A". Rfam says of the family: Ribonuclease P (RNase P) is a ubiquitous endoribonuclease, found in archaea, bacteria and eukarya as well as chloroplasts and mitochondria. Its best characterised activity is the generation of mature 5'-ends of tRNAs by cleaving the 5'-leader elements of precursor-tRNAs. Lineage: Bacteria; Bacillati; Bacillota; Clostridia; Eubacteriales; Oscillospiraceae. The record is from RNAcentral.